RNAcentral lists this long non-coding RNA (430 nucleotides) under Arabidopsis lyrata. Its description in RNAcentral is "long non-coding RNA (ALYR_LNC002426)". Lineage: Eukaryota; Viridiplantae; Streptophyta; Magnoliopsida; Brassicales; Brassicaceae. The record is from RNAcentral.
GAUGAAUCAUGGGAUUAGAUUAUUGUUUAUGUGCAGUGGAUUACAUUUUUUGUUUCCCGGAGAAGAAAGGCUUCUUGCAUAAUGGCCUAAUGGGUACCUGUGUAAAAUUUUAAGACUGGAGAAGAUCUUAAGACUUGAUGUUAUAUUGAUUAGUUUGAGUUUUAUGUGGUUUUGGUGUUUCUGAUUUGUGUUCUUAAGAACUUUAGAACAACGAUUGUGAUUUGUGUUGUGGAUGUGAUCUAAAAUAUAUUGUAAACUCUUUUAAAUCCACGUUGUAUAACCUUUAAAAUACUUUGUAAAGUCUUUAAAAUACAUGUUGUCAAACCUUUAAAAUAUCUUGUAAAACCUUUAAAAUUCACGUAACCUUUAAAAUACUUUGUAAAACCUUUAAAAUACCUUGUAAAACCUUUAAAAUAUAUGUUGUCGAACC